UCUCCCUCAUCUCCUAAAUAGCACAUAAACUUUGUCUGGACCACACAAAUAGUUCACAUUUUUAAAAAAUGCCUGCUCAUCCCUAGUAAGCAGCAUGGCUGAAUGCUGAAAUUGGUCUAGUGUAGCUGAAGAGUUGUGCUGCCAUGCUUUAGCAGCAUUAAUUCUGACUUCUCCAUUUCUUAUCCAGCUGCAUGAAGCAGCGGAAGGCAGUCACUAACGCAACCCAUGCUCUGAAGCGGGAAAGAGCUAUUUGGGAAGCCGGACCAGCAGUGUGAAUAAACAAAGGAUACCUGAUAAAAUAAUGACCAGGCUAUGCGACUGUACUGUCAUAAAUAAUAAAAUGACAACUCGGUUCAACAAAUCCAGUCAUAUGAACACAUAAAAUAAGGAGCUCAGGGUAGAAACGUGAAGGUUGCUGUAGUACCACACCAUAGGUAGUACACCGAAGCCGUAUCUGUUCAAUCAGAACAAUAGACGUACGUGAAGGCAUAAGAGAAACCGUAUUUACAAACAGUAAACUUUGGAUAAGAUAGCAUUACUGCUAUCGCCAGGAAAGCCUGAGAAAUCUCUGUCUUCUUCAGGCACCUGCAAAAUUGUUAGUCCAGGCAAGGCUCUACCUCGCAAACUCUCGGCGGCUCUCCUCUGCCUUUGCUCACCAGAGCGCACAGGGUUUGUUUGAUCUCUGCUCCCAGUCUUGGCAAGCCCUGACUCUGCCUGAAUGAAGCACCACACAAAUAGACCUAUACACGGCAAGGAGAGGUGAAACGCAGAGCAAAUCUCACCGUAUGAAUUUGUAUGACAUGGCAACAGGAUGGCUCAAUUUAUUUGCAAGAGCAGUAAAGAUUGUUCACUUCUAUUGCAUUAGCUUGAAUCCCAGCCAGAUCAGAGAGUCUAAGGACUUCGGGCCUGUCCAGUUUGGAGAAAAGGAGGCUGAGGGGUGACCUCGUUGCUCUCUGCAGCUUCCUGAGGAGGGGACGUGGAGAGGGAGGUGCUGAGCUCCUCUCCCUGGGAUCCAGUGGGAGGUCACGUGGGAAUGGUUCCAAGUUGCACCAGGGGAGCUUUGGACUGGACAUUAGGAAGGAUUUUUUUGCCAAGAGGAUGGUCAAACACUGGAACAGGUUUCCUACAGAGGUGACUGAUGCUCCACACCUGUCAGUGCUUAGGAAGCAUUUCGACAAUGUCCUUAACAACAUGCUUUAACUUUUGGUCAGCCCUGAAGUGGUCACAGUUGGACUAGAUGAUUGUUUCAGUCCUUUCCAACUGAAAUAGUCUAUUCUAUCCUGCCCUCUGAAGGACAGCCCCAGACUGCGCUCAUGCCUUGCCUUUAUCCCUCUAACUUUGUUUCCUUUUCCUCCCAAUGUAUUUCCAUCCUUUGAUCGCUCAAAUCCUGGUAAAAAAUGAAUAGCUAUUUAUUCUUACAAGUAGUUUUGACCUUCAGCUCCGAUUCCUGCUUUUUUGAGAUCAUGAAGUCUUAGGUGGGUUCCUUCCAGUUGUGAGGAGACUUCCUGCUGAGUGGCCUCCUACUCUGUCCGCAUCCUCAGCUCCUGUGAGGAAGAGCUGGGACAGCCCUCUGUUGCUGAGCAUCUUUUGGUGAGGAUGGGUGUGAGAAGUGUGGCCAUAAGUGCCUCCCAAAGACAUGCUGGGGGCAGGAUGGAAAGGAGAAAGUAAUGUGAAGCUUGGAGAAAGCUUCUGGACAGUUAGGCUGUCAUGCUUUUCCGGUUGG
This is a long non-coding RNA of Falco peregrinus (peregrine falcon), 1723 nucleotides long. RefSeq lists it as uncharacterized. Lineage: Eukaryota; Metazoa; Chordata; Aves; Falconiformes; Falconidae. The record is from RefSeq and is a predicted model, not a curated record. The transcript has 3 exons.